This 471-nucleotide ribosomal RNA is filed under the name uncultured bacterium. RNAcentral describes it as "bacterial SSU rRNA". It matches the Rfam family "Bacterial small subunit ribosomal RNA", at positions 30 to 507 of the family's 1533-position model. The record is from RNAcentral.
UGAACGUUGGCGGCGUGGAUUAGGCAUGCAAGUCGUACGCAUAGCUUCGGCUAUGAGUGGCGCAAGGGUGAGUAAUGCGAAGGUAACCAACCUGGUGUUGGGCAUAGCCGCGGGAAACUGCGGGUAAUUCCCAGCGACGUCACGAGAUGGCAUCAUCUUGUGACCAAAGGUGUGAUUCCGCUCUAGGACGGGCCUUCGUGGUAUUAGGUAGUUGGUGAGGUAACGGCUCACCAAGCCGACGAUGCCUACCGGGUGUGAGAGCAUGACCCGGCACACUGGAACUGAGACACUGUCCAGACACCUACGGGUGGCUGCAGUCGAGAAUCUUCGGCAAUGGGCGAAAGCCUGACCGAGCGACGCCGCGUGAGGGAUUGAAGGCCUUCGGGUUGUAAACCUCUUUCGUAGAGGAGGAAGGGGCCGUGAAGAACGGUCUUUGACCUAUUCUAGGAAGAAGCUUGGGCUAAGUUCGUG